Molecule: ribosomal RNA, 447 nt
Filed under: uncultured bacterium
Lineage: Bacteria
Description: partial 16S ribosomal RNA
Rfam family: Bacterial small subunit ribosomal RNA
Source: RNAcentral
GGCCAGACUCCUACGGGAGGCAGCAGUGGGGAAUAUUGGGCAAUGGGCGCAAGCCUGACCCAGCAACGCCGCGUGAAGGAAGAAGGCUUUCGGGUUGUAAACUUCUUUUAAGAGGGAAGAGUAGAAGACGGUACCUCUUGAAUAAGCCACGGCUAACUACGUGCCAGCAGCCGCGGUAAUACGUAGGUGGCGAGCGUUGUCCGGAAUUACUGGGUGUAAAGGGAGCGUAGGCGGGAAUGCAAGUUGAAUGUGAAAUCUAUCGGCUCAACCGAUAGCUGCGUUCAAAACUGUGUUUCUUGAGUGAAGUAGAGGCAGGCGGAAUUCCUAGUGUAGCGGUGAAAUGCGUAGAUAUUAGGAGGAACACCAGUGGCGAAGGCGGCCUGCUGGGCUUUUACUGACGCUGAGGCUCGAAAGCGUGGGUAGCAAACAGGAUUAGAUACCCUAGUA